GGUUCGGGAGUCGUGCGGUGGGACGCACGGCACGAAUUGAACCCCGCCCUCAUUCGCCGCCUUGUGCAGUCCGGGCCCCGACGGCCUGCG
RNAcentral lists this non-coding RNA (90 nucleotides) under Paracoccus sp. TRP. RNAcentral describes it as "Rhodo-rpoB RNA". It matches the Rfam family "Rhodo-rpoB RNA". The record is from RNAcentral. Lineage: Bacteria; Pseudomonadati; Pseudomonadota; Alphaproteobacteria; Rhodobacterales; Paracoccaceae.